Molecule: ribosomal RNA, 1015 nt
Filed under: Staphylococcus aureus
Lineage: Bacteria; Bacillati; Bacillota; Bacilli; Caryophanales; Staphylococcaceae
Description: bacterial SSU rRNA
Rfam family: Bacterial small subunit ribosomal RNA
Source: RNAcentral
UUUAUGGAGAGUUUGAUCCUGGCUCAGGAUGAACGCUGGCGGCGUGCCUAAUACAUGCAAGUCGAGCGAACGGACGAGAAGCUUGCUUCUCUGAUGUUAGCGGCGGACGGGUGAGUAACACGUGGAUAACCUACCUAUAAGACUGGGAUAACUUCGGGAAACCGGAGCUAAUACCGGAUAAUAUUUUGAACCGCAUGGUUCAAAAGUGAAAGACGGUCUUGCUGUCACUUAUAGAUGGAUCCGCGCUGCAUUAGCUAGUUGGUAAGGUAACGGCUUACCAAGGCAACGAUGCAUAGCCGACCUGAGAGGGUGAUCGGCCACACUGGAACUGAGACACGGUCCAGACUCCUACGGGAGGCAGCAGUAGGGAAUCUUCCGCAAUGGGCGAAAGCCUGACGGAGCAACGCCGCGUGAGUGAUGAAGGUCUUCGGAUCGUAAAACUCUGUUAUUAGGGAAGAACAUAUGUGUAAGUAACUGUGCACAUCUUGACGGUACCUAAUCAGAAAGCCACGGCUAACUACGUGCCAGCAGCCGCGGUAAUACGUAGGUGGCAAGCGUUAUCCGGAAUUAUUGGGCGUAAAGCGCGCGUAGGCGGUUUUUUAAGUCUGAUGUGAAAGCCCACGGCUCAACCGUGGAGGGUCAUUGGAAACUGGAAAACUUGAGUGCAGAAGAGGAAAGUGGAAUUCCAUGUGUAGCGGUGAAAUGCGCAGAGAUAUGGAGGAACACCAGUGGCGAAGGCGACUUUCUGGUCUGUAACUGACGCUGAUGUGCGAAAGCGUGGGGAUCAAACAGGAUUAGAUACCCUGGUAGUCCACGCCGUAAACGAUGAGUGCUAAGUGUUAGGGGGUUUCCGCCCCUUAGUGCUGCAGCUAACGCAUUAAGCACUCCGCCUGGGGAGUACGACCGCAAGGUUGAAACUCAAAGGAAUUGACGGGGACCCGCACAAGCGGUGGAGCAUGUGGUUUAAUUCGAAGCAACGCGAAGAACCUUACCAAAUCUUGACAUCCUUUGACAA